GUCCUCAGUUCCAUGCCACCCUGAACAAACCCAAUGUCUGAUCUCGGAAACUAAGCAGAGUCAGGCCUGGUUAGAACUUGGAUGGGAGACCACCUAGGAAGACCAGGUGUUGUAGGCA
This 118-nucleotide ribosomal RNA is filed under the name Pteropus alecto (black flying fox). Lineage: Eukaryota; Metazoa; Chordata; Mammalia; Chiroptera; Pteropodidae. The record is from RNAcentral.